Molecule: ribosomal RNA, 375 nt
Filed under: uncultured organism
Description: partial 16S ribosomal RNA
Rfam family: Bacterial small subunit ribosomal RNA
Source: RNAcentral
GUAGGUGGCAAGCGUUGUCCGGAAUUAUUGGGGCGUAAAGCGCGCGCAGGCGGUUCUUUAAGUCUGAUGUGAAGGGCCCACGGGCUCAACCGUGGAGGGUCAUUGGAAACUGGAGAACUUGAGUACAGAAGAGGAAAGCGGAAUUCCACGUGUAGCGGUGAAAUGCGUAGAGAUGUGGAGGAACACCAGUGGCGAAGGCGGCUUUCUGGUCUGUAACUGACGCUGAGGCGCGAAAGCGUGGGGAGCAAACAGGACUAGAUACCCUGGUAGUCCACGCCGUAAACGAUGAGUGCUAAGUGUUAGGGGGUUUCCGCCCCUUAGUGCUGCAGCUAACGCAUUAAGCACUCCGCCUGGGGAGUACGGCCGCAAAGGCUG